Molecule: transfer RNA, 74 nt
Filed under: bacterium
Lineage: Bacteria
Also listed under: 1 other name
Description: tRNA-Gly
Rfam family: tRNA
About the family: Transfer RNA (tRNA) molecules are approximately 80 nucleotides in length. Their secondary structure includes four short double-helical elements and three loops (D, anti-codon, and T loops). Further hydrogen bonds mediate the characteristic L-shaped molecular structure. tRNAs have two regions of fundamental functional importance: the anti-codon, which is responsible for specific mRNA codon recognition, and the 3' end, to which the tRNAs corresponding amino acid is attached (by aminoacyl-tRNA synthetases). tRNAs cope with the degeneracy of the genetic code in two manners: having more than one tRNA (with a specific anti-codon) for a particular amino acid; and 'wobble' base-pairing, i.e. permitting non-standard base-pairing at the 3rd anti-codon position.
Source: RNAcentral
GCGGACGUAGUUCAAUGGUAGAACUUCAGCUUCCCAAGCUGAUAGCGCGGGUUCGAUUCCCGUCGUCCGCUCCA